CUGGCUCAGGACGAACGCUGGCGGCGUGCCUAAUACAUGCAAGUCGAGCGGAGUUGAUGAGGUGCUUGCACCUCUGAUACUUAGCGGCGGACGGGUGAGUAACACGUGGGUAACCUGCCUGUAAGACUGGGAUAACAUUCGGAAACGAAUGCUAAUACCGGAUACGCGAUAUGGUCGCAUGACCGAAUCGGGAAAGAUGGAGCAAUCUAUCACUUACAGAUGGACCCGCGGCGCAUUAGCUAGUUGGUGAGGUAACGGCUCACCAAGGCGACGAUGCGUAGCCGACCUGAGAGGGUGAUCGGCCACACUGGGACUGAGACACGGCCCAGACUCCUACGGGAGGCAGCAGUAGGGAAUCUUCCGCAAUGGACGAAAGUCUGACGGAGCAACGCCGCGUGAGUGAUGAAGGUUUUCGGAUCGUAAAGCUCUGUUGCCAGGGAAGAAUGCUUGGGAGAGUAACUGCUCUCAAGGUGACGGUACCUGAGAAGAAAGCCCCGGCUAACUACGUGCCAGCAGCCGCGGUAAUACGUAGGGGGCAAGCGUUGUCCGGAAUUAUUGGGCGUAAAGCGCGCGCAGGCGGCCUUGUAAGUCUGUUGUUUAAACUUGGGGCUCAACCCCAAGUCGCAAGGGAAACUGCAAAGCUUGAGUACAGAAGAGGAAAGUGGAAUUCCACGUGUAGCGGUG
Molecule: ribosomal RNA, 684 nt
Filed under: Paenibacillus sp. S4.ACT.014
Lineage: Bacteria; Bacillati; Bacillota; Bacilli; Caryophanales; Paenibacillaceae
Description: bacterial SSU rRNA
Rfam family: Bacterial small subunit ribosomal RNA
Source: RNAcentral